GGAUUUGAUUUAUAACUUUAACAGUAUUAAAACUGAAUGUUCAAUGUUCAGUCAAGCAAACAUGAGGUCAAACAUGAGGUCAAACAUGAGGUCAAACACGAGGUCAAACAUGAGGUCAAACACGAGGUCUAAGGUCUAUAUAUAAGCCUACUUUAGGUCUAACAUGAGGCCUACUGCCUGACUACAGGUAUAAAGGUCUACUUUAGGUCUAACAUUAGGCCUACUGCCUGACUACAGGUAUAAAGGUCUAUAGUUCUACUGCCUGACUGCAGGUAUAAAGGUCUUUAGUUCAACUUCCUGAAUAAAGGCCUACUUUAUGUCUAACAUUAGACCUACUUCCUGACUACAGGUAUAAAGGUCUAUAGUUCUACUGCCUGACUACAGGUAUAAAGGUCUUUAGUUCUACUUCCUGACUACAGGUAUAAAGGUCAAGAGUUUUACUUUCAGCCUCUUUUUAAGGUUUAAAUGUCAACUCAGUCAUCAGAAUGUGCGUUUCUUUCUUCAUAGAGUGUCUAUAGGUCUCUUAAGGUGUUGCUAUCUAAUGUGAACACCUCAAAGCUGAACAUUUUCCAUUGACGUCACGUUGGUGUGAAACCUGUUUACCUCGAUGCUAGACCCUCCUCUUCCUGUCACAACAUGGGUUUCAGAGAAAAGGACCACGAGCUGAAAACUUUCCACUCAAUUGAACCAAUCGCUGCUCGUAUGUCCUUUCAUGGUAAAGUACAUCGAGUCAUGAACACGGAAAUACGCAGCAAAGACCUUGUUACUCAAAGACCCAGCUACUCUCUGACAGUCACCAUCAGACCAUCAGACCACCAGAUGGACAGGCUGUGUGUUUCUCUGAUUGCAUUCUUAUGAGGAAGGAGACCUGUUUUACGCCUCGUUGGAUAUCCGUCAGGGACAGAGGAGACCAAAGAAGAAGAAGAAGAGAGUCCAGAACUCUGACUUCAGUACCUACACAGCCAUCAAUACCAGCAGAGUGAGACCUAUACCAGCCAUCAAUACCAGCAGAGUGUGAGACCUAUACCAUCCAUCAAUACCAGCAGAGUGAGACCUAUACCAUCCAUCAAUACCAGCAGAGUGUGAGACCUAUACCAUCCAUCAAUACCAGCAGAGUGAGACCUAUACCAUCCAUCAAUACCAGCAGAGUGUGAGACCUAUACCAUCCAUCAAUACCAGCAGAGUGAGACCUAUACCAUCCAUCAAUACCAGCAGAGUGUGGUCUCUGAACUUCUCUAUCAGAGACCAGUCAUUCUCCAUGUCUGUAGUGAAUUGAACUUCUCUAUCAGAGACCAGUCAUUCUCCAUGUCUGUAGUGAAUUGAACUUCUCUAUCAGAGACCAGUCAUUCUCCUUGUCUGUAGUGAAUUGAACUUCUCUAUCAGAGACCAGUCAUUCUCCUUGUCUGUAGUGAAUUGAACUUCUCUAUCAGAGACCAGUCAUUCUCCUUGUCUGUAGUGAAUUGAACUUCUCUAUCAGAGACCAGUCAUUCUCCUUGUCUGUAGUGAAUUGAACUUCUCUAUCAGAGACCAGUCAUUCUCCUUGUCUGUAGUGAAUUGAACUUCUCUAUCAGAGACCAGUCAUUCUCCAUGUCUGUAGUGAAUUGAACUUCUCUAUCAGAGACCAGUCAUUCUCCUUGUCUGUAAUGAACUUCUCUUCUACGUGUCCAAUUAGAUCAGCAUCAAACUGUUGUCAUUUGUUAUUUUGCCUUUAUUUUUUAUUUAUAGAGAUCCUUUUAACACAAAGUUUCUACUUUUAUCUGAACUUUUUUGUCGCUUCUUUUAUAAUGUAAUAUUUUUUUACCAUUUAAAAAUGUCUCCAACAUUUUAUUGUUGUGCAUUUUCUAUUUUUUAUGGACAUAAUGAUCAGGUCUGAUUUAUAGUUCAGAUUGAGAUAAUGAUAAUAUGUGAUUUAUAGUUCAGAUUGAGAUAAUGAUAAUGUCUGAUUUGCAGUCUGUGUAUCUAACCUAAAGCAGCAGGUGUAAAAGUGUAUCCAC
This 1994-nucleotide long non-coding RNA is filed under the name Salmo salar (Atlantic salmon). Its description in RNAcentral is "lncRNA (ENSSSAG00000112624.1)". The record is from RNAcentral. Lineage: Eukaryota; Metazoa; Chordata; Actinopteri; Salmoniformes; Salmonidae.